GUAAAUAUUUUACAAUUAAAAAAAAAAAGUUGUAAUACAAGUAAAAUUGGAAACCCAGUAGAGAGAGAAGCAAAGUGAGUCUAUGAUGUAGUUCAGUUUGUGUUCACAGCAUUAAACUAAAGUUAAAACUGUACAGGGAACAGUAACUGACAUAACUAUAUUUUGUAAUUAUUAGAUACGUCAGCAUAUUGACUACAUGAGCCUCAAGUGUACUCAGCUUGCCCUGGCUAUUUGGAGUUCACUGCUACUUAACUUGCAGAUUCAAUAAGAAAAAGAUGUUUCUUUCUGAAGCAGGUGAUAAAGCUCCAGUAAAUUUAGAUCAUUCUGUAGAUAAGGUGAGAGUAAACUCCAGAGGAAAAAAAAAAAAAUGAGCAAAGUAUAAAGCUAAACUUGGCUCCGAGUUCUGCACUGAGCUGUGCUGCACUGGGAGCUCAGCACAAUCACAGAAUUGUAUUUUGCUCCAGGUAAAUAAUAGCCAGUAUCUAAAAAAAUUUAAAAGCCAUUAUUCAGAGGCAAGUAAUGAUUGUCUUCAUAAAACACUGCUCAUUUGGUGUAGCUAUAUUCUGUGCUGGAUCUAUCUUCUGAAAUCUUUACCCAGACCCCUCACACCUUUACCUGUCAAUGAAGUAAUUUAGCAAGUAUCAACUUAAAGCUUGGCAGAUCCCUCAGAUCCCAGCUCAGAUCUGCCCAGACCUUGACUCUUGCUCGGUACCUAUCUCUGCCUCUGCUGGAAGAAGCCCCAAAGUCUUCCUUACUGUGUCAUCCAGGUAAAUAAGGGCUCACUCCACAUACACAGCUGUGGUGUCCACUGCUAGCAAGAUGAGCAUGUAGCACAAUGAACCUGGAAUCACAGAAAUGCCUGUCAGAUAAUGCAUGUUUUGGGUAAUGCAUGGGGACACAGGGAGAGAAGAAAAAGCACACAUACUCUAUACCUUGGAAAUUCUGCUAUAAAAUCCUAAUCCUUAUCCUUUAUAAGGAUAAAAUCCUAUCCUUAUCUUCCCCAUACAGCGGGAAGUUCUGCUCAGUUUGGUAGUAGAAGAAAUAACCAAUGACUAGUGCAAAUAGUCAUGAGAGCAUAAAAAUGCAUUUUAAUAGUAGUCUAAAUAUGAACAGACAUAUUUGGAUGUUACUUCACACACUCCCACAGAAGUCACUCUGUCUUAAUCAUAAUACUAAGAAUGCAUCCAUGCUGCAGUAAGACCAAGGAUGUUCAAAUACAAAGCAAGAAGAGGAGGGUCCCACUGCCCCAAAUCCAUUUUGCUAUAAAGGGACUUCCACGAACACAUAUCUCCUACAAUUUGGAGACAUCAGGAACAUCUGAGAAGUAUAACGCAGUAAGUUAAGCCAACAAGCCUCCUUUUCCUUAAAUUCCUUAUUUUUAAUAUAAAAUUGCUAUUUUUCCCCCUUAUUCUGCAACCUGAUUUUGCUACAAUCCAGGCCAAAUUCCAGUUUGAAGAAUUCCUGUUUGUCUGAUUUCUUCCUCCAAAAUCUGGAACAGCUGCAGAGUUUUACCUGACAGCUGCCUACAUCUGAGAAGUGGAUCUCAACUCUACCAGCAGCCUAUAACACCACAGCAAGUGACCUCCAAGGGGUCUACUGAGCCUCAUUGAGCAAUGAAAACAUGAUGACCUUGAUCAAAUAUCUCAGCUGUGGUGAACAUCAAAUAACAGAAAUUGCAAAGGUUGACAAUUAUUUGAGGGACAAAAAGUCUGGAGAUUUUGUAUCAGUAGAAUUCUAACGGCUUCAACAGAAUGCUCUUGAUUUAAGUUGGAAUAAUUGAAAAAUUAAUCACAUCUACAUAUCACCAGAAGAAAGGAGAAAUAAACCAUCUUGGAAUUUGUAGUUCACUAUAAUCUGAAGUAGAGAAGUCCUUGGAGAAAUCCAGUCUAAAACAAUGCCAAACCUCAGCACCGUAUUAGGAAACAAAUAUCUUUACGCUACAGACCAGUUGUUAUUCCAGAGUUGCUUCCUGGCUGAAGCACAACAUGCUUUGUUACUCCAUGCUCACCUGUGUGUAUACAACAGGUUUGGCUACAGAUGAAUGCAUAUAAAGAGUUGGAAGAGAUCACGUUCAGUGCUUUGUCCUUCGUUCUGGUGAGGUGCACUUCUGUUUCCCUACUGAGAGCUCCUAGGCACAUGGAAGCUGUAAGGCCAACCACCUAACCAUAGGAGGGAUGGGAUCGCUGGCAAACAACACAUCCUGCUUCACCUCAAGCACCCUCCACUCUCCAGAAGGUACUUUCCUGCACAUGGCUGAGGAGCUGCUGGAAGACUGAAGGGGCACUCUCUUCAGCUGUGGGGCUGCCCCACCCCCAGUGCUGCUCUUCUGGCACCCAGCUCCUCCCAUGCUCCUUGUGCAGCUGGUGGCCCAGGAAGGAGCCAGCAUUGCCUCAAAUGGAACAGAGAGCAUCAGGCUGUUUUCUCUUUAAAAGAAGAACAAAAAAAAAAAAACAAAAAAAAAACCAAAAACUAGGCUUUCCCCUUUGUUUCUGCCUUCCUGACUCCCUGGUUCAUGUCCUUCAUUAAGGCGUCUUUCUCAGUCAAGUUCUGCAAGGGCCUUCUAGCAAAAAAGAGGCUCACGGAAUUGUAGAAGUUACUGAGAUAGACAGCUUAGCAGCUGUGGUUCAUUUUCAGCAGUCCUACAGAGCACAGUGACUGUUAAGCACUCUGAC
Long non-coding RNA from Gallus gallus (chicken), 2672 nucleotides. Lineage: Eukaryota; Metazoa; Chordata; Aves; Galliformes; Phasianidae. The record is from Ensembl.